GGGAAACUGGAAAGCAAGGACAAAGUUUGGGACAAUAUACCUAUGAUGGUAGAACGUACCUAAAAGUCCUAUUUUGGCUACGAGACCAGACUGAGAAAAACUGCUUCAACUGCCGCAUGCAUGGACAUAUUACAUAUAGCUAUCCUGAGAGUGAAGAGACAAUACAAUGUGACAUAGUAAUAAGGGUUCUGUAUAGGAUUGUAUUGACUUGCUUAAAGAUGUGUAUGGUGACUGGUGGUGGUGUUACAG
This is a non-coding RNA of Pelobates cultripes (western spadefoot toad), 249 nucleotides long. The record is from the annotation of a GenBank genome assembly. NCBI's taxonomy places the organism in Eukaryota, Metazoa, Chordata, Amphibia, Anura, Pelobatidae.